Molecule: transfer RNA, 73 nt
Filed under: Stegodyphus mimosarum
Lineage: Eukaryota; Metazoa; Arthropoda; Arachnida; Araneae; Eresidae
Rfam family: tRNA
About the family: Transfer RNA (tRNA) molecules are approximately 80 nucleotides in length. Their secondary structure includes four short double-helical elements and three loops (D, anti-codon, and T loops).
Source: Rfam by way of RNAcentral
GCCUUCGUGGUGUAAUGGUCAGCACACUGAGCCGGUAUUUCAGAGGUCCGCGGUUCGAUUCCCGGCAAAGGAA